GACGAACGCUGGCGGCGUGCCUAAUACAUGCAAGUCGAACGCUGAAGCGAGGAGCUUGCUCUUCUUGGAUGAGUUGCGCACGGGUGAGUAACGCGUAGGUAACCUGCCUUUUAGCGGGGGAUAACUAUUGGAAACGAUAGCUAAUACCGCAUAACAAUGGAUGACACAUGUCAUUUAUUUGAAAGGGGCAAUUGCUCCACUACAAGAUGGACCUGCGUUGUAUUAGCUAGUAGGGGAGGUAAUGGCUCACCUAGGGGAAGAAACAUAGCCGACCUGAGAGGGGGGUCCGGCCACACGGGAACGGGAACAGGGCCAGAACUCCUAGGGAAGGAGGAGGAGGGAAACCUUGGGAAAAGGGGCAAACCUUACCGGGGAAAGGCGCGGGAGGGGAGGAGGGUCUCGGAUCGGAAAGACUCGGUGUAAGGGAAGAACGGGUGUGAGAGUUGAAAGUUCACAUUGUGACGGUAGCUAACCAGAAAGCGACGGCUAACUACGUG
Molecule: ribosomal RNA, 497 nt
Filed under: uncultured bacterium
Lineage: Bacteria
Description: partial 16S ribosomal RNA
Rfam family: Bacterial small subunit ribosomal RNA
Source: RNAcentral